RNAcentral lists this long non-coding RNA (188 nucleotides) under Ictidomys tridecemlineatus (thirteen-lined ground squirrel). RNAcentral's name for it is "lncRNA (ENSSTOG00000029365.1)". Lineage: Eukaryota; Metazoa; Chordata; Mammalia; Rodentia; Sciuridae. The record is from RNAcentral.
CCCAAUGCCAGAGGAAGAUGAACAUAACAAUGAUUCAGACAGAUGCCCAUACUCCACUUAAAUAUGUGCAUGGACAAUAGAAGCUCUGAAUUUAUCACCUCUAACUGGCAUUAGAAGUGACAUUUUAAGGAGAAACGAAGUGUGAGGGGACCAUCAACCUUUUCCAUUUUAUAAAGCUUUACAGAAAC